RNAcentral lists this ribosomal RNA (1553 nucleotides) under Staphylococcus aureus. Its description in RNAcentral is "16S ribosomal RNA". It matches the Rfam family "Bacterial small subunit ribosomal RNA". The record is from RNAcentral. Lineage: Bacteria; Bacillati; Bacillota; Bacilli; Caryophanales; Staphylococcaceae.
UUUAUGGAGAGUUUGAUCCUGGCUCAGGAUGAACGCUGGCGGCGUGCCUAAUACAUGCAAGUCGAGCGAACGGACGAGAAGCUUGCUUCUCUGAUGUUAGCGGCGGACGGGUGAGUAACACGUGGAUAACCUACCUAUAAGACUGGGAUAACUUCGGGAAACCGGAGCUAAUACCGGAUAAUAUUUUGAACCGCAUGGUUCAAAAGUGAAAGACGGUCUUGCUGUCACUUAUAGAUGGAUCCGCGCUGCAUNNGCUCUGGCNCUUAGNCNNCNNCUUACCAAGGCAACGAUGCAUAGCCGACCUGAGAGGGUGAUCGGCCACACUGGAACUGAGACACGGUCCAGACUCCUACGGGAGGCAGCAGUAGGGAAUCUUCCGCAAUGGGCGAAAGCCUGACGGAGCAACGCCGCGUGAGUGAUGAAGGUCUUCGGAUCGUAAAACUCUGUUAUUAGGGAAGAACAUAUGUGUAAGUAACUGUGCACAUCUUGACGGUACCUAAUCAGAAAGCCACGGCUAACUACGUGCCAGCAGCCGCGGUAAUACGUAGGUGGCAAGCGUUAUCCGGAAUUAUUGGGCGUAAAGCGCGCGUAGGCGGUUUUUUAAGUCUGAUGUGAAAGCCCACGGCUCAACCGUGGAGGGUCAUUGGAAACUGGAAAACUUGAGUGCAGAAGAGGAAAGUGGAAUUCCAUGUGUAGCGGUGAAAUGCGCAGAGAUAUGGAGGAACACCAGUGGCGAAGGCGACUUUCUGGUCUGUAACUGACGCUGAUGUGCGAAAGCGUGGGGAUCAAACAGGAUUAGAUACCCUGGUAGUCCACGCCGUAAACGAUGAGUGCUAAGUGUUAGGGGGUUUCCGCCCCUUAGUGCUGCAGCUAACGCAUUAAGCACUCCGCCUGGGGAGUACGACCGCAAGGUUGAAACUCAAAGGAAUUGACGGGGACCCGCACAAGCGGUGGAGCAUGUGGUUUAAUUCGAAGCAACGCGAAGAACCUUACCAAAUCUUGACAUCCUUUGACAACUCUAGAGAUAGAGCCUUCCCCUUCGGGGGACAAAGUGACAGGUGGUGCAUGGUUGUCGUCAGCUCGUGUCGUGAGAUGUUGGGUUAAGUCCCGCAACGAGCGCAACCCUUAAGCUUAGUUGCCAUCAUUAAGUUGGGCACUCUAAGUUGACUGCCGGUGACAAACCGGAGGAAGGUGGGGAUGACGUCAAAUCAUCAUGCCCCUUAUGAUUUGGGCUACACACGUGCUACAAUGGACAAUACAAAGGGCAGCGAAACCGCGAGGUCAAGCAAAUCCCAUAAAGUUGUUCUCAGUUCGGAUUGUAGUCUGCAACUCGACUACAUGAAGCUGGAAUCGCUAGUAAUCGUAGAUCAGCAUGCUACGGUGAAUACGUUCCCGGGUCUUGUACACACCGCCCGUCACACCACGAGAGUUUGUAACACCCGAAGCCGGUGGAGUAACCUUUUAGGAGCUAGCCGUCGAAGGUGGGACAAAUGAUUGGGGUGAAGUCGUAACAAGGUAGCCGUAUCGGAAGGUGCGGCUGGAUCACCUCCUUU